Molecule: ribosomal RNA, 2931 nt
Filed under: Escherichia coli
Lineage: Bacteria; Pseudomonadati; Pseudomonadota; Gammaproteobacteria; Enterobacterales; Enterobacteriaceae
Description: 23S ribosomal RNA
Rfam family: Bacterial large subunit ribosomal RNA
Source: RNAcentral
GGGUUGUGAGGUUAAGCGACUAAGCGUACACGGUGGAUGCCCUGGCAGUCAGAGGCGAUGAAGGACGUGCUAAUCUGCGAUAAGCGUCGGUAAGGUGAUAUGAACCGUUAUAACCGGCGAUUUCCGAAUGGGGAAACCCAGUGUGAUUCGUCACACUAUCAUUAACUGAAUCCAUAGGUUAAUGAGGCGAACCGGGGGAACUGAAACAUCUAAGUACCCCGAGGAAAAGAAAUCAACCGAGAUUCCCCCAGUAGCGGCGAGCGAACGGGGAGCAGCCCAGAGCCUGAAUCAGUGUGUGUGUUAGUGGAAGCGUCUGGAAAGGCGCGCGAUACAGGGUGACAGCCCCGUACACAAAAAUGCACAUGCUGUGAGCUCGAUGAGUAGGGCGGGACACGUGGUAUCCUGUCUGAAUAUGGGGGGACCAUCCUCCAAGGCUAAAUACUCCUGACUGACCGAUAGUGAACCAGUACCGUGAGGGAAAGGCGAAAAGAACCCCGGCGAGGGGAGUGAAAAAGAACCUGAAACCGUGUACGUACAAGCAGUGGGAGCACGCUUAGGCGUGUGACUGCGUACCUUUUGUAUAAUGGGUCAGCGACUUAUAUUCUGUAGCAAGGUUAACCGAAUAGGGGAGCCGAAGGGAAACCGAGUCUUAACUGGGCGUUAAGUUGCAGGGUAUAGACCCGAAACCCGGUGAUCUAGCCAUGGGCAGGUUGAAGGUUGGGUAACACUAACUGGAGGACCGAACCGACUAAUGUUGAAAAAUUAGCGGAUGACUUGUGGCUGGGGGUGAAAGGCCAAUCAAACCGGGAGAUAGCUGGUUCUCCCCGAAAGCUAUUUAGGUAGCGCCUCGUGAAUUCAUCUCCGGGGGUAGAGCACUGUUUCGGCAAGGGGGUCAUCCCGACUUACCAACCCGAUGCAAACUGCGAAUACCGGAGAAUGUUAUCACGGGAGACACACGGCGGGUGCUAACGUCCGUCGUGAAGAGGGAAACAACCCAGACCGCCAGCUAAGGUCCCAAAGUCAUGGUUAAGUGGGAAACGAUGUGGGAAGGCCCAGACAGCCAGGAUGUUGGCUUAGAAGCAGCCAUCAUUUAAAGAAAGCGUAAUAGCUCACUGGUCGAGUCGGCCUGCGCGGAAGAUGUAACGGGGCUAAACCAUGCACCGAAGCUGCGGCAGCGACGCUGAUGCGUUGUUGGGUAGGGGAGCGUUCUGUAAGCCUGCGAAGGUGUGCUGUGAGGCAUGCUGGAGGUAUCAGAAGUGCGAAUGCUGACAUAAGUAACGAUAAAGCGGGUGAAAAGCCCGCUCGCCGGAAGACCAAGGGUUCCUGUCCAACGUUAAUCGGGGCAGGGUGAGUCGACCCCUAAGGCGAGGCCGAAAGGCGUAGUCGAUGGGAAACAGGUUAAUAUUCCUGUACUUGGUGUUACUGCGAAGGGGGGACGGAGAAGGCUAUGUUGGCCGGGCGACGGUUGUCCCGGUUUAAGCGUGUAGGCUGGUUUUCCAGGCAAAUCCGGAAAAUCAAGGCUGAGGCGUGAUGACGAGGCACUACGGUGCUGAAGCAACAAAUGCCCUGCUUCCAGGAAAAGCCUCUAAGCAUCAGGUAACAUCAAAUCGUACCCCAAACCGACACAGGUGGUCAGGUAGAGAAUACCAAGGCGCUUGAGAGAACUCGGGUGAAGGAACUAGGCAAAAUGGUGCCGUAACUUCGGGAGAAGGCACGCUGAUAUGUAGGUGAAGUCCCUCGCGGAUGGAGCUGAAAUCAGUCGAAGAUACCAGCUGGCUGCAACUGUUUAUUAAAAACACAGCACUGUGCAAACACGAAAGUGGACGUAUACGGUGUGACGCCUGCCCGGUGCCGGAAGGUUAAUUGAUGGGGUCAGCGCAAGCGAAGCUCUUGAUCGAAGCCCCGGUAAACGGCGGCCGUAACUAUAACGGUCCUAAGGUAGCGAAAUUCCUUGUCGGGUAAGUUCCGACCUGCACGAAUGGCGUAAUGAUGGCCAGGCUGUCUCCACCCGAGACUCAGUGAAAUUGAACUCGCUGUGAAGAUGCAGUGUACCCGCGGCAAGACGGAAAGACCCCGUGAACCUUUACUAUAGCUUGACACUGAACAUUGAGCCUUGAUGUGUAGGAUAGGUGGGAGGCUUUGAAGUGUGGACGCCAGUCUGCAUGGAGCCGGCCUUGAAAUACCACCCUUUAAUGUUUGAUGUUCUAACGUUGACCCGUAAUCCGGGUUGCGGACAGUGUCUGGUGGGUAGUUUGACUGGGGCGGUCUCCUCCUAAAGAGUAACGGAGGAGCACGAAGGUUGGCUAAUCCUGGUCGGACAUCAGGAGGUUAGUGCAAUGGCAUAAGCCAGCUUGACUGCGAGCGUGACGGCGCGAGCAGGUGCGAAAGCAGGUCAUAGUGAUCCGGUGGUUCUGAAUGGAAGGGCCAUCGCUCAACGGAUAAAAGGUACUCCGGGGAUAACAGGCUGAUACCGCCCAAGAGUUCAUAUCGACGGCGGUGUUUGGCACCUCGAUGUCGGCUCAUCACAUCCUGGGGCUGAAGUAGGUCCCAAGGGUAUGGCUGUUCGCCAUUUAAAGUGGUACGCGAGCUGGGUUUAGAACGUCGUGAGACAGUUCGGUCCCUAUCUGCCGUGGGCGCUGGAGAACUGAGGGGGGCUGCUCCUAGUACGAGAGGACCGGAGUGGACGCAUCACUGGUGUUCGGGUUGUCAUGCCAAUGGCACUGCCCGGUAGCUAAAUGCGGAAGAGAUAAGUGCUGAAAGCAUCUAAGCACGAAACUUGCCCCGAGAUGAGUUCUCCCUGACUCCUUGAGAGUCCUGAAGGAACGUUGAAGACGACGACGUUGAUAGGCCGGGUGUGUAAGCGCAGCGAUGCGUUGAGCUAACCGGUACUAAUGAACCGUGAGGCUUAACCUUACAACGCCGAAGGUGUUU